CAAUAGCGUAUAUUUAAGUUGCUGCAGUUAAAAAGCUCGUAGUUGGAUUUCGGGUGGGAAUGGCCGGUCCGCCGUUUCGGUGUGCACUUGCUACGCCCACCUUGCUGCCGGGGACGUGCUCUUGAGUUCACGCUCGGGACACGGAGUCGGCGAGGUUACUUUGAGUAAAUUAGAGUGUUCAAAGCAGGCCUACGCUCUGAAUACAUUAGCAUGGAAUAACACGAUAGGACUCUGGCCUAUCUUGUUGGUCUGUAGGACCGGAGUAAUGAUUAAGAGGGACAGUCGGGGGCAUUCGUAUUUCAUUGUCAGAGGUGAAAUUCUUGGAUUUAUGAAAGACGAACUACUGCGAAAGCAUUUGCCAAGGAUGUUUUCAUUAAG
RNAcentral lists this ribosomal RNA (378 nucleotides) under uncultured eukaryote. RNAcentral describes it as "partial 18S ribosomal RNA". It matches the Rfam family "Eukaryotic small subunit ribosomal RNA", at positions 592 to 977 of the family's 1831-position model. The record is from RNAcentral.